UCGCUAUCUCUCUUCAGUAGCUGCCUCUCUUCAAAAAAAACAACUAAUCCCCUUGCACGCAUCUGGUGAAGCACGCCGCCCAGGAGCUUCACGAGCGGCCGUCUCGCCGGCGAACAGGAUCCGCGUCACGCCGGUCGCCGCCGUGGAGGAUCCACGCCUCGGGUCAAGCUCGCCCCCGCCGACCACCGCCACGCUGUGCCUCCUCUCCAUCUGCAUCGACUUUGGCGCGCCUCCACCGCCGCCCCUCCCUAUCUUCUCCAUCGCCGCUGGAUUUGAGAUCCACGCAUCCUACUUCCUCUCGUUCAUCAAGGAGCUGCGUUUCUGCAUUUGGAUCGAAAAGAACACCAACUGUUCUCAAAUCUUCUCCUAAUGAUAGUAUCAUUAUACGGGUGUAAGACUGUAGUUAAUUACUAGUUUAUUAGUUGGAGACAAGGUGUCUUCUCGGGUGGAUUUAGGCUGCAAAGUAGUACUACUAUUAUCUAUGGAUUUGUUUCUAAUGUUGUUGUCAAGGAGUUUCAGAUUUGUUCCAAACUGUUUAAGUAGUAUACAAUGCAAUCUGGACAUAUCCGCCGAAUCAAAGGUCCAGUUCUAUGUAUUUUUCAUCUUCCUUGCAGAAACCUAUCAUUCAGUGGAUGAUUGGAUGCUGAAAUAGAUGUUUUCUUUAGUCAA
Molecule: non-coding RNA, 669 nt
Organism: Triticum urartu
Lineage: Eukaryota; Viridiplantae; Streptophyta; Magnoliopsida; Poales; Poaceae
Source: RefSeq, a predicted model, not a curated record